Vitrella brassicaformis is the source of this 71-nucleotide transfer RNA. It matches the Rfam family "tRNA". From Rfam's summary of the family: Transfer RNA (tRNA) molecules are approximately 80 nucleotides in length. Their secondary structure includes four short double-helical elements and three loops (D, anti-codon, and T loops). Lineage: Eukaryota; Vitrellaceae. The record is from Rfam.
GCUUCUGUAGCUCAAUGGAAGAGCAUCCGGCCGUAAACCGGAAGAUCGAAGUUCAAUCCUUUGCGGAAGCG